AUGCAGUCGAGCGAAGGGAGUACUACGGUACGAACUUAGCGGCGGACGGGUGAGUAACGCGUGGACAAUCUACCCUGUAGACUGGGAUAACACCUCGAAAGGGGUGCUAAUACCGGAUAAUGUCGAGAAGCGGCAUCGCUUUUCGAAGAAAGGAGGGAAUCCGCUAUAGGAGGAGUCCGCGUCCCAUUAGCUAGUUGGUGAGGGUAACGGCCCACCAAGGCGACGAUGGGUAGCCGGCCUGAGAGGGUGAACGGCCACACUGGAACUGAGACACGGUCCAGACUCCUACGGGAGGCAGCAGUGGGGAAUAUUGUGCAAUGGGGGAAACCCUGACACAGCGACGCCGCGUGAGUGAAGAAGGCCUUCGGGUCGUAAAGCUCAAUAGUAUGGGAAGAAAGAAAUGACGGUACCAUACGAAAGCCCCGGCUAACUACGUGCCAGCAGCCGCGGUAAUACGUAGGGGGCGAGCGUUGUCCGGAAUUACUGGGCGUAAAGAGCACGUAGGCGGCUAUAAAAGUCAGAUGUGAAAAACCUGGGCUCAACCGAGGGUAUGCAUCUGAAACUAAAUAGCUUGAGUCAAGGAGAGGAGA
RNAcentral lists this ribosomal RNA (590 nucleotides) under bacterium stC7-27F. RNAcentral's name for it is "bacterial SSU rRNA". It matches the Rfam family "Bacterial small subunit ribosomal RNA", at positions 55 to 660 of the family's 1533-position model. The record is from RNAcentral.